UAUAUCAAAAAAAACAGGAAUGCAGUCUCACGGUUCAACACCGCACAAAAUUAACACCGACAACAACAACGGAUUUUCGCGGAUCAGACUUAACACAGAGAAAGAGAGAAACAGAAGAACAAAAAGGAAGAUCUGGUCGCACCCACAGGCGGAAUCAAAACUCCUCUGAAAGACGCCUUCACGACACCGCGGAACAGCCGCCACAGAUCCAAGCGACUACCACCCCUGCGCAGCAAUCUCAACACCAUCCAGCCUUUGACAACUGCAGAGCCACAAACGACAACCAACGUCGAUCAUCUCUAUCAUCGCCACAGCCGCAUCCUUAA
Molecule: non-coding RNA, 326 nt
Organism: Vicia faba (fava bean)
Lineage: Eukaryota; Viridiplantae; Streptophyta; Magnoliopsida; Fabales; Fabaceae
Source: the annotation of a GenBank genome assembly